This 496-nucleotide ribosomal RNA is filed under the name uncultured bacterium. RNAcentral describes it as "partial 16S ribosomal RNA". It matches the Rfam family "Bacterial small subunit ribosomal RNA", at positions 29 to 507 of the family's 1533-position model. The record is from RNAcentral.
AUGAACGCUGGCGGCGUGCCUAAUACAUGCAAGUCGAGCGAACGGACGAGAAGCUUGCUUUUCUGAUGUUAGCGGCGGACGGGUGAGUAACACGUGGAUAACCUACCUAUAAGACUGGGAUAACUUCGGGAAACCGGAGCUAAUAUCGGAUAAUAUUUUGAACCGCAUGGUUCAAAAGUGAAAGACGGUCUUGCUGUCACUUAUAGCUGGAUCCGCGCUGCAUUAGCUAGUUGGUAAGGUAACGGCUUACCAAGGCAACGAUGCAUAGCCGACCUGAGAGGGUGAUCGGCCACACUGGAACUGAGACACGGUCCAGACUCCUACGGGAGGCAGCAGUAGGGAAUCUUCCGCAAUGGGCGAAAGCCUGACGGAGCAACGCCGCGUGAGUGAUGAAGGUCUUCGGAUCGUAAAACGCUGUUAUUAGGGAAGAACAUAUGUGUAAGUAACUGUGCACAUCUUGACGGUACCUAAUCAGAAAGCCACGGCUAACUACGUG